AAUCAAGCGCGAAAGGGCAUUUG
RNAcentral lists this ribosomal RNA (23 nucleotides) under Candidatus Liberibacter asiaticus. RNAcentral describes it as "partial 23S ribosomal RNA". The record is from RNAcentral. Lineage: Bacteria; Pseudomonadati; Pseudomonadota; Alphaproteobacteria; Hyphomicrobiales; Rhizobiaceae.